This 1352-nucleotide ribosomal RNA is filed under the name Lachnospiraceae bacterium. RNAcentral's name for it is "partial 23S ribosomal RNA". It matches the Rfam family "Bacterial large subunit ribosomal RNA", at positions 1 to 1360 of the family's 2925-position model. Lineage: Bacteria; Bacillati; Bacillota; Clostridia; Lachnospirales; Lachnospiraceae. The record is from RNAcentral.
AUGGUUAAGCGAAGAAGAGCGCAGGGUGGAUGCCUUGGCACUGGGAGCCGAUGAAAGACGUGAUAAGCUGCGAAAAGCUUCGGGGAGGGGCAAAUACCCGUCGAUCCGGAGAUAUCUGAAUGGGGAAACCCGCCUGAGAAACCCUCAGGCAUCCAUACGCCAAUCCAUAACGUAUGGAGGGGAACCCGGGGAACUGAAACAUCUAAGUACCCGGAGGAAGAGAAAGAAACAUCGAUUCCGUAAGUAGCGGCGAGCGAACGCGGAAGAGCCCAAACCGGCAUGCGUGCAUGCCGGGGUUAAGGACCGCAGAGAGGAUCCAGGAAGGUUAACGGAACGGUUUUGGGAAAGCCGGCCGGAGAGGGUGAAAGCCCCGUACGUGAAAACCGGAAUGGCCAAGCGGGAUCCAGAGUACCACGAGACACGUGAAACCUUGUGGGAAGUCGGGGGGACCACCCCCCAAGGCUAAAUACUGCCCAGUGACCGAUAGCGCAUAGUACUGUGAAGGAAAGGUGAAAAGAACCCCGGGAGGGGAGUGAAAGAGAACCUGAAACCCUGUGUUUACAAGCUGUGGGAGCGCUGCAUAUGCGCGACCGCGUACUUUUUGUAGAACGGUCCGGCGAGCUGCGCCGGCUGGCAAGGUUAAGUGCCAAAGGCACGGAGCCGGAGGGAAACCAAGUCUGAAUAGGGCGUUUUAGUCAGCCAGUGCAGGCCCGAAACCGGGUGAUCUAUCCAUGUCCAGGCUGAAGCUGCCGUAAAAGGCAAUGGAGGGCCGAACCCACAUCCGUUGAAAAGGGUGGGGAUGAGGUGUGGAUAGGGGAGAAAUUCCAAUCGAACCCGGAGAUAGCUGGUUCUCCUCGAAAUAGCUUUAGGGCUAGCCCCGCAGGAGGUUCACGGAGGUAGAGCACUGAAUACCCUAGGGGGCGUCAAAGCUUACCGAAGGUUAUCAAACUCCGAAUGCCGUGGAACUGCUCUGCGGGAGUCAGACUGCACGAGAUAAGUUGGGCAGUCAAAAGGGAAAGAGCCCAGACCUCCAGCUAAGGCCCCAAAGUGUGUGUUAAGUGGAAAAGGAUGUGGGAUUUCGAAGACAGCUAGGAUGUUGGCUCAGAAGCAGCCAUACAUUCAAAGAGUGCGUAAUAGCUCACUAGUCGAGAGGUCCUGCGCCGAAAAUGUCCGGGGCUGAAACAUGCCGCCGAAGCUGAGGGAUGCACGUGAGUGCAUCGGUAGGGGAGCAUUCCUGCAGGGAAGAAGCUGUACCGUAAGGGGCAGUGGACAUGCAGGAAGAGAGAAUGCCGGAAUGAGUAGCGAGAGGAAGGUGGGAAUCCUUCCGGCCGAAUAUCCAAGGUUUCCAGGGU